GCACACUAGUGUGCGCUUUGCACACGUGACCCCCCUUUAAUCCUUUACCUCACUACUUACGUCUUCACGAUUCAAGCAGCAUGACGAAUGACGUUAAUUUGGUUCUCUGGUUUUCUCCCACGUUCCGAAAUCAUGAAUAGUAGAUUAACUGAAGACUUUAAUUGUCCUCAUGAGUGAGCUGGCAACAAGUCCACAGUGAGUCUGCUAGAAUAGGCUCCAGUACACCUGCCACCCUCACGAGGGAAGGGAGUGGGGCUUCCUGCGGCUGAUCUACUACGCCCAUGGAAUGUGUACUUGGCCAACUGUCUGGUUUCCAAAUUUUUAGCAGUGCUUCCUCCAUUUCUUCCGUUCCAUCCUAUAUGACAGAAAGAUAACUCUCCAGACAAACAAGGC
This is a long non-coding RNA of Syngnathus acus (greater pipefish), 393 nucleotides long. RefSeq lists it as uncharacterized. The record is from RefSeq and is a predicted model, not a curated record. The transcript is spliced from 4 exons. NCBI's taxonomy places the organism in Eukaryota, Metazoa, Chordata, Actinopteri, Syngnathiformes, Syngnathidae.